CACGUAGGCGGAUUGUUAAGUCGGGGGUGAAAUCCUGGAGCUCAACUCCAGAACUGCCUUCGAAACUGGCGAUCUUGAGUUCGGGAGAGGUGAGUGGAACUGCGAGUGUAGAGGUGAAAUUCGUAGAUAUUCGCAAGAACACCAGUGGCGAAGGCGGCUCACUGGCCCGAUACUGACGCUGAGGUGCGAAAGCGUGGGGAGCAAACA
Molecule: ribosomal RNA, 207 nt
Filed under: uncultured bacterium
Lineage: Bacteria
Description: partial 16S ribosomal RNA
Rfam family: Bacterial small subunit ribosomal RNA
Source: RNAcentral